RNAcentral lists this ribosomal RNA (253 nucleotides) under uncultured bacterium. RNAcentral describes it as "partial 16S ribosomal RNA". It matches the Rfam family "Bacterial small subunit ribosomal RNA", at positions 524 to 776 of the family's 1533-position model. The record is from RNAcentral.
GACGUAGGGCGCGAGCGUUGUCCGGAAUUACUGGGCGUAAAGGGCUCGUAGGCGGCCAACUAAGUCAGACGUGAAAUCCCUCGGCUUAACCGGGGAACUGCGUCUGAUACUGGAUGGCUUGAGUUUGGGAGAGGGAUGCGGAAUUCCAGGUGUAGCGGUGAAAUGCGUAGAUAUCUGGAGGAACACCGGUGGCGAAGGCGGCAUCCUGGACCAACACUGACGCUGAGGAGCGAAAGCCAGGGGAGCAAACGGG